GACGAAGAGAAAGGUGCCCUGGAUUUCUCGGUUUUGUAGAGAGCACAUUGUCGAACCAGCAGUUGGCAGAUGGCGAUGACACAGAUGAGUAGCUUAGGCGAGAGGUCAUUGUUGUGAAGGCCGUCACGGGAAGGCGUGGGGGAUUUGGCACAAGGCCGAUGAUCGAGUCUAUGCUCUCUCCUCUAUGGAAAGACCUAUUUUCUCUGAUGAUUGUUUUGAAGUGGCAGACCAUGUGAACAACCUGGGCACCAUCGCGA
Triticum dicoccoides is the source of this 257-nucleotide long non-coding RNA. RefSeq lists it as uncharacterized. NCBI's taxonomy places the organism in Eukaryota, Viridiplantae, Streptophyta, Magnoliopsida, Poales, Poaceae. The record is from RefSeq and is a predicted model, not a curated record. The transcript has 3 exons.